GAGGGUAUAGCUCAGUGGUAGAGCAUGUGCUUAGCAUGCAUGAGGUCCUGAGUUCAAUCCACAGUAUUUCUA
This 72-nucleotide transfer RNA is filed under the name Camelus bactrianus (Bactrian camel). It matches the Rfam family "tRNA". Rfam says of the family: Transfer RNA (tRNA) molecules are approximately 80 nucleotides in length. The record is from Rfam by way of RNAcentral. RNAcentral also lists the same sequence under 2 other names. Lineage: Eukaryota; Metazoa; Chordata; Mammalia; Artiodactyla; Camelidae.